AUUGAACGCUGGCGGCAGGCCUAACACAUGCAAGUCGAGCGGAUGCAGGGUGCUAGCUCCUGCAUUCAGGGGCCGACGGGUGGGUAAUGCCUAGGAAUCUCCCUGGCAGUGGGGGAUAACGUCCGGAAGCAGGCGCUAAUACCGCAUACGUCCUGAGGGCGAACGUGGGGGAUCUUCGGACCUCACGCUAUCAGAUGAGCCUAGGUCGGAUUAGCUAGUUGGUGGGGUAAAGGCCUACCAAGGCGACGAUCCGUAGCUGGUCUGAGAGGAUGAUCAGUCACACUGGAACUGAGACACGGUCCAGACUCCUACGGGAGGCAGCAGUGGGGAAUAUUGGACAAUGGGCGAAAGCCUGAUCCAGCCAUGCCGCGUGUGUGAAGAAGGUCUUCGGAUUGUAAAGCACUUUAAGUUGGGAGGAAGGGCAGUAAGUUAAUACCUUGCUGUUUUGACGUUACCAACAGAAUAAGCACCGGCUAACUUCGUG
This 484-nucleotide ribosomal RNA is filed under the name uncultured bacterium. Its description in RNAcentral is "partial 16S ribosomal RNA". It matches the Rfam family "Bacterial small subunit ribosomal RNA", at positions 30 to 507 of the family's 1533-position model. The record is from RNAcentral.